CAUUCCUGCAGAGCCAGGACGCCAGGUAGGCAGCACUCAGAGCAGGUCCCAAGCUGUGUUCCAGACACACUGCCAGGCAGACCCAGCCCUCGCUUCCUGCCUCACCUUGAAGAUCUUUCGGGCAUAGCUGUCGUCCACCUGGAUGUUGAGCUCCUUCAGAAAGUUUUGUAGCUCUUUGAAGCUCAUCUUGUUGUCCUUGUUUUUGUCAGCUUUUCGCAAGCAGGAAUGAAUCCAGCUGGGCAAGAAGUAAGGAAAGAACCCCAGGAGCCGUGGUACCCCCCAGGUCCCAGCCAGAGGCAUGGUUCAAGCUCAUGGUCAACUCCCAGGCCCAGGUGGACUGAGGGCCCCUAUAGACACUGCUCCCCGCAGGCCUGGCUGUUGGCACAUCUGCAUUUCAGGGGUUCAUUACAGACAGUUGAGAAAAUGAAGAAAAGUAAACAAAGGCCCCACAGUUCUAUCAGCCAGGGGUACCUACUGUUAACAUUUCAAGAAUGAUGAGGAUAUUCUAAAAUUCAUUGGCUGAUGGGUUGCAUAACUGUGAAUACACUAAAAAGCAUGGAUUUGUACACUUCUGGUGGAUGAUUUACGUGACAGAAGACAGCCAUCUACAAGCCAGGAAGAGAGCUCCCACCAGAACCCGACCCUGCUUGGCACCCUGCUCUUGGAUUUCCAGCCUCCAGAACUGUGAGCAAAUUGAUUUCUGUUGUUUAAGCCACCCAGUCUAUGGUAUGUUGGCCCAAGCCAGGUGUCUUCCAUACUGAGGCUGCCCUGGGGAUAAGCAUAGCCAGUAGCCACAGGCUGGGUCUGGGUCCACUGCCCCCAAAA
This is a long non-coding RNA of Bubalus bubalis (water buffalo), 825 nucleotides long. RefSeq lists it as uncharacterized. The transcript is spliced from 4 exons. The record is from RefSeq and is a predicted model, not a curated record. Lineage: Eukaryota; Metazoa; Chordata; Mammalia; Artiodactyla; Bovidae.